AAACUGGUUGGAUCGAUCGAGAAUCAAGAAAAACCUGAAAAUAAAUUGGUUGAAAAUGAGAAAAAAUAGUGUGUUAAUAGGAGGAGGAUUAGGUUAUUGUUAUAAACGAUGGAUGUCAUCGUCGUCAAGCGUAGGAAGAAAGAGAUCCGCGGCAGUGUGGGGUAAUGGUGAUUACGGAAGAUUAGGAUACGGAAACGUAGAUUCUAUGUGGAGACCUAAGCUUAUGAAUUCCUCUUCCUUUCAUAAUUCUAAUCUCAAAUCCAUUUCUUGUGGCGGUGCUCACACUCUCUUCUUAACAGAAACUGGGCGUGUUUAUGCCACCGGUCUUAAUGAUUUUGGACAGCUCGGCAUAUCAAACAACACUACUUAUUGUAUGGAGCCACUUGAAGUUUCUGGUCUCAAAAAGGAAAUUGUGCAAAUCUCAGCUGGUUAUCAUCACUCAUGUGCUAUUACAGUGGAUGGAGAGCUCUAUACGUGGGGAAAGAACUCAAAUGGGCAGCUGGGUCUUGGAAAAAAGGCUGAAAAUGUAGUCCCUGUACCAACAAAAGUAGAAUGUUUGAGCGGAAUCAACGUUAAAAUGGUAGCUUUGGCUUCAGAGCACUCAAUUGCAGUUACUGAUGGAGGUCAGGCCUUGAGUUGGGGAGGAGGAGGAUCUGGGCGACUUGGUCAUGGCCAUCAAUCAAGUCUUUUGGGGUUUUUUAGAAGCAGCAGUGAAUAUACACCUAGACACAUUAAGAAACUUGAAGGGGUUAAGGUUAAAAACAUUGCUGCCGGCUUGCUUCAUUCAGCCUGCAUUGAUGAGAACGGCUCUGUCUACAUAUUUGGUGAAAAAGCAGUAGAUAAACUGGCUUUUGGAGAUGCGAACAACACAACGACACCAUCUAUGAUAGGCAAAUUGCCUUACUCUCAAGAAGUAGCAUGUGGUGGCUAUCACACAUGUGUUAUAACUAGUAGUGGUGAACUAUACACUUGGGGCUCAAAUGAAAAUGGUUGUCUUGGCAACGGUUCUAUUGAUGUCUUGCAUAUUCCGGAGCGAAUUGAAGGCCCUUUUUUGAGAUCUCCUGUUGAAAAGGUAUCCUGUGGUUGGAAGCAUACAGCAGCGAUUUCAGAAGGCAAAGUGUUUACCUGGGGCUGGGGAGGUUCACAUGGAACAUUUUCUGAAGAUGGACUUUCUUCCGGUGGACAAUUGGUUUGCUUUCUCUUCUCCUGUAUACUAUGAAAUUACCUUCUUCCAAUUAGUCAUGUGCGAUGCUUGAAAACAUCAUUUUAAAUAUCAACGCCUCAGCAUGUAGUAAAAACAGAUAUUUGCAUUACCAUUAAUUUUUUUUUCAGUGGUCCGCGGUGGCCAUGAUAAGUAAUAGAUGAUCAACAAUGAUACUUGAAAUCAUCAGGCAAUAGAUAGCCAAUGGCAAUGGUGCCUACAGUAAGUUCCAAGGUUGAAUACAUUUCUGGAUAAACAAGUCUGAGUAUUAUUUUUAAUUCCCCCUUACAAUCUUUUCCUUAUUGUGAAAUGAUUAAUCUUGUCCACUAUACCAAUAAUAUUAGAUGCUAACAUAUAGUUCAUGAGCCUGUACCAUUAAAUGCUUGUCACUUUUACUUGAUACGAGACACUAACUUUUAGUUUAUUUUGAUGAUAUUUUGGUAAAUGCAUUAUUAGAUUUUAUAUGGUAACAUCAAAGUUCUAUCCCGCGUGGUUUUCUGCUAUGGUGAAAGUACUGAAAAUUACUUCAAAAUGUUAUUUCAAAACAAGCACAAAAUGUUCUUCAGUUCAUUUGACCUUUAGCAUAUGAUUGGUUUGCUGUGUUGGAGCACACCGUGCAUUUUUUUUGUUAUUAUCUCUGUAAAUUCAUUGUUAUUGUGCUUCUUGUGCGCAUUCAUAUUUGUCUUUACGAGUUACGAGCUGAGGAUAUUGCAUACAGGGUCACGGGGAUGAUUUUGACUACGUAAAUCCUACAGUGGUUGCCUUCGAGAAGAAAAUGAAAGCAUUGGAAGUGUCAUGUGGGUUUAAUCACACAGGUGCCAUACUUGAAAGUGUUGAUGCUUAAGCCAUGGUUAAGGUUCUUCAGUGAAUGGAAGCGGUUUAGAGUUUUUACUGUUAUUUCAUUCAUUAUUUGGCUUUAACAUAUUCAAAUGCCAAUUAAAUAAUCAUCAGUCAUCAACUCCGAGACCAUCUGUUCAUACUCCGAACUCCAGAACGGUGCACUGUACAUGAUGAGGUCAAUGUAACCUGUAUAUCCUUAAUUUACCAAAAGAAAACUGUUACGGUACGAAAACUUAAAAUAUGUGGGAAAACCACUGUAUACAUGUAUUUUAUUGUGAAUUGUAAUAGUCAAUUGGUGAUUUUAUUCUUAAAAUAAUCACAUAAAACAGUCUUUCAAGAGU
This is an RNA transcript of Populus euphratica (Euphrates poplar), 2382 nucleotides long. It is a transcript of the gene named Regulator of chromosome condensation (RCC1) family protein, with no coding region annotated. The record is from RefSeq and is a predicted model, not a curated record. The transcript is spliced from 15 exons. NCBI's taxonomy places the organism in Eukaryota, Viridiplantae, Streptophyta, Magnoliopsida, Malpighiales, Salicaceae.